Molecule: non-coding RNA, 102 nt
Organism: Hypoxylon fuscum
Lineage: Eukaryota; Fungi; Ascomycota; Sordariomycetes; Xylariales; Hypoxylaceae
Source: the annotation of a GenBank genome assembly
GUCUUCGUGGGUCAGUCGGGCAGAGCGUUGGUCUCAGAAAUAUGACUCAAUCUUCAGAUUGGGUGUAUCCAACGGUCGUGAGUUCGAGCCUCACCGAGGACA